This 1020-nucleotide long non-coding RNA is filed under the name Bos indicus x Bos taurus (hybrid cattle). RNAcentral's name for it is "lncRNA (ENSBIXG00005030944.1)". The record is from RNAcentral. Lineage: Eukaryota; Metazoa; Chordata; Mammalia; Artiodactyla; Bovidae.
UCACAGCCCCAACCAGCCAGUGCUCCAGGGUGGAGCCGAUCCGAUUCUGGAUGCUUUGUGUCUGAGUCGCCUCUGACCACACAAAGCCGGUUCAGCGGGGCUUUCAGACGCUCCUGCGCCCAGCUCCCAUCACUCGGAGGGACUCCUCGGCUCAGAGAAACCGGUGGCGGGAGCCCAGGGGCAGCUGAUGGCAGCGGCCACCAUGGGCUUGCCUUUGGUCAGUGCCGUUGGGCAAAACGCCAUCUCGAGGGGCCAGGCCGUAGUGGAACAUUUACGGAGAAGCUGGGGCCCCGAGGAAGGGACGUUUGCUUUCCUCCUGUCCUUUCACAGAAUCCCCAGAAGCUGGCCAGGAGCCUACCGUGCCUCUCAGAUCCCCACAAACUAGCCCCAGCUGACUUCUGUAAACUCGUCUCUCACUGGCCCCCAGCAGGGACCCCCCCAAAAUGCCUUUCUUCCGUGACAACCGCCUCUCCUUCAAUCUGGAAUCAUCUCCCCUCUCCUUCCCCCCUGCAGCUCAUAACCAUUUGUCAAGGCUCCAUUCCAACCCCAAAUCCCACUUCUUGUAUGACACAUGGUCCGCCCAGGUCCAGAUCUCCAACAGCCAUCUCUGAACUCAAGUUAGAUCCCCGGACGUGGGAGGCACAGAGCUGGCCUCCGGUGCAGGUUCUGUGGUCAGCUCCAGCCUGGGCACACUGCCACGUCAGCUCAGCUGAGCCUCCCAGUUAUCCUGAGUACUGCAGCUGCCCCCUCCCUUGGCCAAUGGGGAUUGUUGAGUCUGUUGGCUCAGACGGUAAAGAAUCCACGUGCAGUGCAGGAGACCCUGGGCCAGGAAGAUCCCUGGGUCGGGAAGAUCCCCUGGAGAAGGGAAUGGCUACCCACUCCACUAUUCUUCCCUGGAGAAUCCCAAGGACAGAGGAGCCUGGUGGGAGGAGCUGGACAGUACAUGGAGUCUGGAGAAACCCUGGACAGAGGAGCCUGGCGGGCUACAGUACAUGGAGUCGCAGAGUCGGAGACGACUAA